UGCUCCUGAUGGACGGACCCCGUGGUACGGAGCCGUGUGGGAGCAGUUCUUGAGGAGCUGCUGCCUAUGGGCGGCCUCCGCAGGCUCAGUUGGGGGAGGCCGGCAUCUUGUGAGGGGGAGACCGCGUGGAGCAGGAGCUGAGAGGGACCGUCAGGGAGAUGAAGUAUUUUGGACUGACCACAGCUCCAGAUUCUCCUUACACUGAGCCAGUUUUGCUCAUGACUGUAACUGGAAUCCCAGGGCUGUACCUACCCCAAAACCUCAUCCACGCGUUGAAGGCAGCAAGAAGGAUUGCCACACCAACAUUGAUGCUCUCUGCGGGGCGGACAGCCACAGCAUCGUACAGUGACCUGAGAGCCUGCUGGAAGCCAGUGGGAGAGGGAGCAGUGCGUGUGAUCUGGAGGGGUGCUGCAAGAGUGACUGGCGUGACGGAGAGCAUCCCUGUCAUGCUGAGCUCUCUGGAUGUUUGGGUAAUCCUAAAAGACUGCUUGGAGAAGCAGAAAGACGCAGGGAGAUGAAGAAACCAGGAGGCUGGCACAGCUGGCUGUGGGAAUGAUCAGAGGCACUAGUGCCAUAUUGCACCUCUGCACAUGACCAUGUUGGUCCUUUACAGCUCUUUGCUGGAAGGCAGCUGGCAUCCAGGUAGCUCCACUGGAGGUGUCUGCAGUGAGUCAAGCAGCAAACGGGCCACAAAACGGUGAGUUUCUGAGCGGGAAACUUAAUUUCUGAUUUGGGAACUAAUCCAAGCCGAAGAACAAGUGUCAUCUUUCCUUGUGUUUAGGCAUGGGUAAUGCUGUGUCUGAACCUUGGCUAGUUUUCUAGAUGCCUUUGUCACUGCAGACCCAAUUCCCGUUGCCUGUCCUCCCCAUUACAGGGCACAAGGGGGCAGCCCCAUUUCCAGAUCGAUUUGGUUUUUCUCGUCCCUGUGUGCUGCAAAAAGCUCUGAAGUGAGCACAUUUGGAAGAUGCCGUUUGGUUUUGUUUUUACCGGUGUCUUUCUAAUGGAAAGAGCUCUUUGGAGUCAGUGACAAGCCAGAGGCCGUGGAGAAGGAUUGCUGGCACCUCCUCAGGGCAGUGCAGUCUGUCUGUCCUGCCUGCCCCCAGCCGGAUGGGCUCAGCCUGGAUCCCGUUGGUGUGAGGGGAUGGGGGUUACCAAUGAAACAAAGAUUAAGUGACUGUUUGCUCUUGCUGUGCUCCUGCCUGUCUCUCCGUCCCUGCUGGUAACUGCUGUGCUGUUUGGCCCUAAGAUGUGAUGUCGUUAAUUCUGAGAAACAGCACCUGAAUGGGAGAACAGGAUCCUAGAAGAUUGCUCAUUUGUGGAGCUCCCAUUUUAUUGGGCAGCAGGACAUGGUUUGCUGUGAUGGUGUAGGAAAUGUGCCUAAGUAACGCAUCUCCUGUUGGGAUGGUGGGGGAAACCAAGUCCUGGCUGUGCACGCAGAAGCGGUUGCCUACAUGUUGCAUCAACCUCCUUGUUCUUAAAGUGAGUAAUGCAAUGCUGUCAAAAAGCAUAAGGAUGGCUUCUCUACGAGACAGCCCUGCUCUCCAGGGGUAGGGUAUCCAUGGUCUAUCCAGGGAGUAGAUGCUGUUGGAGUAAAAGGAGCAGCUGCUGCUGCUGACUACAUUCAUGGAGUACUCUGCCUUGCUCAUAUGGAGCAGAGCAUCCCUCGUAGGGCUGAACCGCAGCCUGCUCUGUGCUGCCUGGGUGACAGGAGGAGUGCUGGCUGUGAAGAGGAUCCGCCUUCAAAAAUGUUUAUGGUGAGCCUGCUCCUUUACGCUGAAAACAUUUUUGUUUCAUAUUCUGGGUUUUAUUUUUAGCUGCUCUGCUGUGAAAUGUCUCACUUAAAUAGACCCCCUUCUCUGUUUUUGGUGUGCUUCUGGCAUAAAGUCAAUAAACUUAUUAAAGAGGAAUCUCUGGAGAAUUUCACAGAACUUUCUGAGAUUGACAACAGGUGGAACAAAUGCAUUGCAGGUUAUAUUUAAACGGCACUGAUUUGAGGCAAGUGUUCAUGUAGGAAAUGAACUCAUGGCUAUUCCCAGCUGAGCACUUAUGCCCACAGACAGGGGGUGCUGGAAGGGGCAAAGAGCCUCCUGCUCUGUGCUCCUGCACCAUGGUGUGGCCAGCUGGGUUCCUGUUGUUCCCGGGGGUUGCUGAAAGACUUUGUUCAGUGCAGUGCUGGAAUAUGGUGUGAUAGGAGCUGAAGUAAACCUCCUGAUGACCCCAGUCCAGUGGGAAUACCUACAGGAGAAAGACAAACACUUGAACUUGCAGCUUAUUCUUCAAAGUAGAGCUAUAAAACCUUCUAAAGGCGUCUGGAGAGGGGACUACGGCGACUUCCCUGAUAUUGCUGCACUGGCAUGUGAAGCAAAGCUGUCUGUUAUCACUCAUGCUUCAAGUGCUGAGAGAAACUUUAGAGACUGCAAUCAUCUUCUAUUCAGGAGCAGAGGUAGUUCUUGCUGUGGGAAAUCUCCCUGGGAAAUCAGUCUCUGAGAUCUCCCAGCUUCUCUGCCAGAGGUGUUCUGCCAAUUUGAGGGAAAAGAAUCGUUCUUAUAAAUAAAUCCUGCGGCAAGCUUCUGAGCAGCCAGCACUGAGAGAUCCUGGCUAGCCACAAGGCCUCGGGAUUGUUGUGCUUCUUUUAAGAAGUUUUCCUCACUUUCAGGACACUUUCUGCUCCUGGUCUGCUUCCUACCUCACAUGCCUCAGAAUCUGCAAGAUUUCUCCCAUGUUUUCAGAGAGUUGUGUUGCCAAUCUCCAGUCAUGACUUCAUGAAUUACCCACUCCUCCAGUACAAGUUAAAUCUCUUGAUGCUGAUGUUUCACCAACCUGCUGCAGUCCAGACUGGUCUCUCUGUUCCUAUCAAGUCCUUGCCUAUUUCUCCGGUAUCUCCUCAUGGGCAUCCAGCUCUUGGCUCAAACUCACUGAAUGUGACACCAGCUCUUUGUCCACUGCUCCAAGCCAUCUCUGUCACCUCCCUUCUUAGUCCCCGAGCUGCGCUACAGCGGCCUGAGCAAAUACACUCUGGGGAGGUGAGGUUUUCUGCCACAGAAGGCAAAAGCCCUUUCAGUAACACAGGAGGUGUCACACAGUGUGUUUUUAUGGCUAUUUUUACAGUUCUUAUUAUACCUUAGAUCUAAAACAGAUCCUUACAAUUGCUCGUAAUUGCUGGUCUUUUGGCACUUCAUAAAUCCUCUUCCACAAAAUAUGCAGCUAGGGAAGAAUAACCUGCCCACCGAGUGACACUCUUACAGGAGGGAAAAUAAUGAGAAAUGUGGAGUGUGGGAGCAACAGGCUUUCUGGACAAUUGUAAACAGCAAUCGUGCUUAAAAGCAUCAUCAUCUGAUGGCAGAGCAGAAAGAGAAACGCUGUGUUUAAUGAAUUGAAUUGUUCAUUGAAAAUAAUGGACCAUUUCUGACUUGCAGGUACUUAGUGACUUGUUGUGAUGUUGUAGCGCUUCAACAGCGCAGGGAGCGAGCAGCUCCUGCACCUGCUUUCUCUGAAGCGUACUGCUUUUGUGCCUGCUAUGCCUAAUUCUGUUUGUGCCACGGAGUUGUCUUAGUUAAUUCUGUUGUAAAAUAGCUGCUGUGCAUAUGCCAACAA
Molecule: long non-coding RNA, 3594 nt
Organism: Cygnus olor (mute swan)
Lineage: Eukaryota; Metazoa; Chordata; Aves; Anseriformes; Anatidae
Exons: 7
Source: RefSeq, a predicted model, not a curated record